This 707-nucleotide ribosomal RNA is filed under the name uncultured Bacteroidales bacterium. Its description in RNAcentral is "bacterial SSU rRNA". It matches the Rfam family "Bacterial small subunit ribosomal RNA", at positions 45 to 739 of the family's 1533-position model. Lineage: Bacteria; Pseudomonadati; Bacteroidota; Bacteroidia; Bacteroidales. The record is from RNAcentral.
GGCUUAACACAUGCAAGUCGAGGGGCAGCAUGGUCUUAGCUUGCUAAGGCUGAUGGCGACCGGCGCACGGGUGAGUAACACGUAUCCAACCUGCCGUCUACUCUUGGCCAGCCUUCUGAAAGGAAGAUUAAUCCAGGAUGGCAUCAUGAGUUCACAUGUCCGCAUGAUUAAAGGUAUUUUCCGGUAGACGAUGGGGAUGCGUUCCAUUAGAUAGUAGGCGGGGUAACGGCCCACCUAGUCAACGAUGGAUAGGGGUUCUGAGAGGAAGGUCCCCCACAUUGGAACUGAGACACGGUCCAAACUCCUACGGGAGGCAGCAGUGAGGAAUAUUGGUCAAUGGGCGAUGGCCUGAACCAGCCAAGUAGCGUGAAGGAUGACUGCCCUAUGGGUUGUAAACUUCUUUUAUAAAGGAAUAAAGUCGGGUAUGCAUACCCGUUUGCAUGUACUUUAUGAAUAAGGAUCGGCUAACUCCGUGCCAGCAGCCGCGGUAAUACGGAGGAUCCGAGCGUUAUCCAGAUUUAUUGGGUUUAAAGGGAGCGUAGAUGGAUGUUUAAGUCAGUUGUGAAAGUUUGCGGCUCAACCGUAAAAUUGCAGUUGAUACUGGAUGUCUUGAGUGCAGUUGAGGCAGGCGGAAUUCGUGGUGUAGCGGUGAAAUGCUUAGAUAUCACGAAGAACUCCGAUUGCGAAGGCAGCCUGCUAAGCUGCAA